RNAcentral lists this ribosomal RNA (496 nucleotides) under uncultured bacterium. RNAcentral's name for it is "partial 16S ribosomal RNA". It matches the Rfam family "Bacterial small subunit ribosomal RNA", at positions 28 to 506 of the family's 1533-position model. The record is from RNAcentral.
GAUGAACGCUGGCGGCGUGCCUAAUACAUGCAAGUCGAGCGAACAGACGAGGAGCUUGCUCCUCUGACGUUAGCGGCGGACGGGUGAGUAACACGUGGAUAACCUACCUAUAAGACUGGGAUAACUUCGGGAAACCGGAGCUAAUACCGGAUAAUAUAUUGAACCGCAUGGUUCAAUAGUGAAAGACGGUUUUGCUGUCACUUAUAGAUGGAUCCGCGCCGCAUUAGCUAGUUGGUAAGGUAACGGCUUACCAAGGCGACGAUGCGUAGCCGACCUGAGAGGGGGAGCGGCCACACGGGAACUGAGACACGGUCCAGACGCGUACGGGAGGCAGCAGUAGGGAAUCUUCCGCAAUGGGCGAAUGCCUGACGGAGCAACGCCGCGUGAGUGAUGAAGGUCUUCGGAUCGUAAAACUCUGUUAUUAGGGAAGAACAAAUGUGUAAGUAACUAUGCACGUCUUGACGGUACCGAAUCAGAAAGCCACGGCUAACUACGU